RNAcentral lists this long non-coding RNA (5417 nucleotides) under Equus caballus (horse). RNAcentral's name for it is "lncRNA (ENSECAG00000058944.1)". Lineage: Eukaryota; Metazoa; Chordata; Mammalia; Perissodactyla; Equidae. The record is from RNAcentral.
CUGACAGGUCACCGCGACCAGCAACGUCACAGAUAAGUCCGGCACUACCCGGGGCAGGGCCGGAAGCAGCGGCGCAGCGAUGGGGAGAGGGCAGGCUUGGAGCCGCCCUGCCUGGGUUUGGGUCCCAGCUGCGCCACUUACCGCAGGACGCGCUUGACCCAGUCCCUGAGCCUCUCUGAGCCUCAGUUUUAUAGUCUGUAAAAGAGGAAGAAGAGCAGCGCCUGCCCUUUUCAGCCACGGGAGGAUUAAACGGGCCCCUGGACGCACUUAGCGCAGAGCCUCGCCGGGCACGAGCUGCGCGCACGUCUGCUCCCCAAACCCCUGGAUGACGUGGCUGGCGCCCCUCUUCUUUGUGGGGUCAAGGAGGGCUAGCGCUGAGAGGGGCUGGAUGAGAAUUGGGAAUCCACCUCAGAGGGGGGCAGCAGCACUCGCAGCAGGAGGAGCGCGUGCACAGAGCCCCUGACUGGAACCCUUUUGGAUUUCUGGGAAUCUCCUUUGAGACCACAGCUGUUCUAGGAUGAGGCAACCUAUGAGAACUGUUGGCUGCUGACCUCGUCAUUGUUGGCUGCCAGGGCAGCACGUGCCUAGCUCAAAAACAAAAAGGAAAAUCCCUACCUGGCAGCGUGGUGGCCGUAUCGGCGAUUUGGGGCCAACAAGGUGAAAGUGCAAGUUCUUAAAUGCAGCUCAUGGGAAGGCUCACACAGCAGGGUGACAACAGACGGCACUGGUGUUUUCACCCUUCACCCCUUCCUCCUUCUUCCGACCUGGAAUAGGUAGGACAGGACCGCUGGGGCUGCAGCCGCCAUCUUGUGACCAUGAGGUCCCAUGAGGAUGGAAGCCAAGACAAGAUGGCAGAGCAGAAAGGCAGAGGGAGGCAGGGCACUGAUGACAUCACGGAGCCCUGCGCUAGCCCUGAACUGCUGCCUCCUGACCUCACUUCGUCGGGGGAAAAUAAUCCCCUCUUUAUUUAAGCCACUUGGGUCCAGGUUGUGUCCACCCACAGUAGGGCAGCCUCCCCCACCCAUGGCUCCCCAAGCCAGCUCAGAGCGCCUGGGUCUCACUGCAGAUGCAAAUGACAGGCGCCCCAGCUCCCUGCCUUCCAAUCCUGUUCUGCUCUUUGCCUUUUCAUGGUCUACAUUCCAGGAUUGUUGAGCCUGCUUUUUUUUCCCUCCUCUUGGUGCCAAAUAAUGAAAUUUCAGCAGUUAGCCUUGAAAACUCUAAGCCUUUCUUACUGCUGGUAAAAGAAAUCUCAGCAAGAUAAGAAAGAAAAAAUGUUCCCUCUUCCACUACAGCUGCAAAAACACAGAUGCUCUUCAGAACCAUAAAGCUGGUUCCAAUAAGUGGUGGAUUGAGAAUGUUCAACAAAAAAAAGGAUGUCUGUCCUCCUCUUCAGCGUGGACACUGAUGUGAAAAUGUCCAGUCCUGCUCUAAGUUCUGUCGGGCAAGUGUCCCCAGAAGGACUCUUUGUACAAAGGAGUCUUGUGAGAUGCCUGCCCUCCGGGCCUGGCUGCUGCGUCCUGUGCAGUGUGACCUUCAGCCCCUCAAGGCUGCAAGGCCCGCCUGGGGGUCUCGUGUGAUCAUUCCUCGCCCUGAGGAUAGUAUUUAAUUUGGUAUCUGGCAUGUCCUGGAAUUUCUGGGUCAAAUCUUAAGAGGAUCAUAGCCACUUGCAUUAAGGAAAGAAUUAAUCAAAGCUAAGAUGUUGUUAGAUUCCUUCUUUGAACCAAGAUUCUGGAGUCUUAUCUUAUUUUAACCCACACUGACCUCCCAGUCUUCGCUCCUGGGUCCCCUGUGCAGGAUGUCCUCCCGCUCUGCUCCCCUCUCAUCUCACCCACACUAGUUCACCCUUCAAGCUCUUCCAGCAUCUCCAUCUCGGAAGGCCCCUGCCCGUAGCAGAGCUGGGCCUCCUUCUCCAUGCCCACAGCCCCAGCAUCUCCCUGGCAUAGCCCCGCCUCACUCACAUCAGCCAGGGCUCCUCUGGUUACAAGGCACAGGAGCCUGAUGGAUGCAGACGGACUUGGGCAAAAAAACCGAGCUGUGUUGGCUCCUGUGCCUGGAAACCCCACCUGUGCCACGCUCAGGCACAGAUGGAUCUAGGCGCUGGGGCAACGAUUUGCUCCUGUGCUGUGCUUGCUGUAUAGCCUCUGCUGUGCCCUGGGAUGGCUGCAUCCUCAGAGAGGCUCUAGCAAGAGGGUGACAGCAGCUCUAAGAACACAUUCCACCAGCUCAGCCGAUCCUGCAGAAAGAGAUGUCCUGUUCUCAAGGUCCAGAAACUGCUCAGUGAUUCUGAUUGGCUUGGCCCAAGGGUCACGUGCAUCUCUGAGCCAAUCUCCACAGCCUCUCACGGGCGAGGCCUGAGCACGUGCCCGCCUGUGAGCUGAGGGAGGCCCAGUUCUUGAAAGGGCAAGGGUGCAGGUCCCAUCGACAGACUGAGCUGGCACAAAAGACCACCACAACACGAGGCUGCACUGUUUCCUCGUCCGCCUUCUGUGUCCAGACGGCCCCACGCAGAGCUGGCCUAUGGCUGGCGCUCAGGGAAGCUCUGCAGCAUGCCACGAGGAGGAGGCACAAGAUGCAGCCUGGAGGUGUCGCUGCCAUGCCACAGCUUUAGAAUUCCCCGGAUGUUUCAGACUCCGAAGGAGGGGCCAGGCAGGAGUCCCAAAUCGCUGGUGCGGUUGGCGGGGCGCCUGUUGGCACUCGGGGAAAUGCCCAGUCUGGGAUUGUUGCCUCUUGUGCAUUUCUUUUUUUUUUUUUUUUUUGAGAAGCUGAAAAUCUGGAAGUGUAUGUAGAAUCUAAUAUUUAAAUUUUGACAACUAACUUUCAAAAUUUUUUUAAGUACUGUGCACGCCCACGAUCCACCUCUGUUUGUGAAAGCAGUGAAACACCAGAGGGCUCCCUGACUACGGCUUUGAGGACCACACGCGAGUGUGGGCACCCACGCCGCUCUGGGAGUACCCUGCGGCAGGCCCACGUCUCGCCCCAGUGUGAGGGUGUGUGCCCAGCCAGCCCCGGGCCCAGCUCCUGCCCAGCAGCCAGGCCCACGGGGAGGGCUGUCUCCUCUCAGUGGCUCUCAAAGUUUCUGCCUUGAAUCAGACCCCUUCACCAGAACGCCAUUCAGCCCCUGGCAAGCGGAACUGAUUUUGCGUCCCGGGGCCUCCCGGAGCCUCCCGGAGCACCUGAUGAGAUCUGGACCAGAGCUGGCUUUAAAGUCUUCACAGCGGGUGGCGGGGUCUUGAUUUGCCAGAUGCAGUCAGCUGAGUCACUGUCUCCAAACGAUAUGAGAAAUAAACACCAGCCACGCUCGAGUGGCCAGCAGGCGCCUCCUGAUCCACGGAGCCAGCUACGAGGCUGCUCCCUGCAAGAGGCUCCUGCACCCCCGAGAAAGGUCCUGCUUAGAAAUGAAGGGUGGACAGCCCCCUAGAAGGAGAAGCUGCUCGGUGCCAGGCCCUGCACAGGAUGCGAGGUGGAGGGCUCCAUAGAGGACAAGGAGGCAUGAUCAGUGCCACAUGACAAGUGGGGAAACCACGGCACAGAGAGCCAGAGGCCCUGCCCGUGUCACGCAUGUGAAAAAGGCAGAGCUGCGACUGGGAAGCCAGCUGUCUGCUCCAUGCUCCCACAGUGUGCAUUCCGGCCCCAGCUGUGCCGGCAGUGCCCCUGGGCUCUGUGGCCCCUCCCGGGCAAUCCUUUGGGAGUUCUCUCUGUACCGCCAGAGCAGCUAUGGAGGGGCUGCAGCCUCCCCACCUUGGUCCAGUGGCCCCCGAGACAAGGCGUGGAGCUCUUCCUAUGCGGGAGAUGUUUCCACAAGUCUUGGCACUGGAGUCAGUGGUUGGAGGCCUGGGGUCAAAGCCCGCCCUCUCUCCUGUUUGGCCAUGCGACCUCUCUGUCCCUCAACUUCCUCAUCUGUAAAGUGGGGGCCUUAAUGUGUGAGACUGUGCAACCCACAUGGAGUGUUUAGAAGGCUGCCUGAAUGUAGACAGUAUUAGGAACCGCCAUGGUCACAGCCCCCUGGGUGACAGACAACUGUCAUGAUCCCCCAGGAGAGCCAGCCCACGUCACGGGCUUCCUGUCUCAGAAUUGGGUUUCGGGAGGGGUGAGGGGUCUGAGACUAAGCCCCAGUGAAGAGAGUGGUGUGAGUGGCUGGAGCCUUUGCCACCCCAGACAUCAGCCCCUCUGGGAUCACACAGGCCUCCUCCCCAGAGCGGAGGUGAGGUUGCUGGAACCUGAAGGGAGAGGCACUGGGUUGGGAGCCUGGCCCCGGUGUCUGUAAGGAAGGGAAGCUAUGAAGAGGAGGGGGCAACUUCUGUGUGAAGCUGACAGAAAGAUCCACAAAGUCCACAAACGAGGUCCAUGGACACAGAAGAUGAGGGGAUGACCCUGUGGGCCCCAGAGCUGUCAGUUGCCCCCAGUCCAGAUCUUGCCUUCCCUGGUUGUUGGAAACCAAAUUAACUGAGCAUCUCCUAUGUACUAAGAGGUCUGUCUCACUUAACCCUGUAUCGGUCAGGAUGUGCUAGGAUGUGCUGCAGUAUAAACAACCCCAAAGCUUAGAGGCUGCAAGGACAAGGUUUCUUUCUUGUUCUGGCUACGUGUUCAGUGCAGCUUAGCAGAGGAACUCUUCUCGUGGGGGCCCCUCGGGACAAGGCUGACAGAGGCUCUGUCUUGACACGUGCCUCCGCCAUUAUAGUGGCAGCACAGAGCAGUGUCCUGGCAGCUAAACGCUUUGACCUGCAAGUGACACGUGCCACUUCUACGCACAUGUCAUUAGCCAAAGGAGGUCACAGGGCUUUACCUCUCUUCCUAAGGGGCAGGGAAGGCAAUCAGCCCGUCUGCGUGUGCAGGAGGAGAAGCAGAAUGCGUGGGCGACCCCCAAGAGAGCCCCAUUACACAAGAGCUUGACUCCCAGUCCACAAACCCAUGAGAGAGCUUCUAGAACGCUGCUCAGUUUCCCACUUGGCCUGUUCUGCUAAGUGGGUGGGAGAUCUAACCUCCUCCUUGGGGUUGUCUGCCUGGUCUGUGGAUCUAGUCGAGGACCUGCUUGCACAGUGUCAGGAUCAGGGGAGUGAUUUGUUAUGGGCUGAAUUGCGUCCCCCCAAAUUCUUCUGUUGAAGCACUAACCCAGUACCGCAGAAUGUGACUGUAUUUGGAGAUGGCGCCUUUAAGAAAAGUGAUUUAGUUAAAGUGAGGCCAUUAGGGUGGCCCUAAUCCAAUCUCACUGGUGUCCCUACAAGGAGAGGAGAUUUGGACACAGAGAGACCCCAGGGAUGUGCACGCACAGAAGAAAGACCACGUGAGGACACAGGAAGGCGACGGCCGUCUGCAAGCCGAGGAGAGAGGCCUCGGAAGAAACCAGCCCUGCUGACAGCUUGAUCUUAGACUUUUAGCCUCCAAAACUGUGAGAAAAUAAAUGUCUGUCGUGUAAGCCC